RNAcentral lists this unclassified non-coding RNA (303 nucleotides) under uncultured fungus. Its description in RNAcentral is "sequence contains ITS2". The record is from RNAcentral. Lineage: Eukaryota; Fungi.
AACGCAAAUUGCACUUCUUGGUAUUCCGAGGAGUAUGCUUGCUUGAGGGUUGGUCUACAAAAAAGUCGUAAAUUUUUUUUUUACGGAUCUGGGCUUUCCGAGUUUUCCGACCGCGGUUGCCUAAAAUUUAUCUUAACAGUGAGGUGUUAAUUAGAGAUGUUCUAUCUUACAUAUUGUAAGUUUAUCGAUGAUUAUGCUAAUUGUUAUAUCGCGUUAUUCAUCUAGUAUCUUUGAUUAGGUGAAAUAAUUCAAUUUUUUUUUUAAUCCUACCUUAAGUCAAGUAAGGAUACCCGCUGAACUUAA